UGUUAAAGUCUCUUGUCGAGGCCAUCUACCAGUACCAGCAUCACCACCAAAGGAGCCUGCCUCAGCUUCCAAUCCACUCAGUGUAGGUGUAGCAGAAGCAGCAGCGACAGUGUUGUUAGCACUAUUAGCGGUAGUGACAACAGCAGUAGCGGCAGGAGGAGGGACACAAGCAGCAGUAGUAGAAUCGGAGUGGAACUCGUGCAAACCAGCAACCCGAGGCAUCAGCAUCAUCAUAUCGUAGUGGUGGCCCUGUGGUGGCAGAUUCCUGUGGGCAGCAGAGAAGCGUUCAGCUGGCUGUGGCUGUGGGAUUGCAGGGAAAUGGGUAGGUCUCCCGCUGAUGAACUGCCUGAGAUCUAUGCUAUACUGA
RNAcentral lists this unclassified non-coding RNA (367 nucleotides) under Hevea brasiliensis (rubber tree). Lineage: Eukaryota; Viridiplantae; Streptophyta; Magnoliopsida; Malpighiales; Euphorbiaceae. The record is from RNAcentral.